Molecule: ribosomal RNA, 622 nt
Filed under: Ciliophora sp.
Lineage: Eukaryota; Ciliophora
Description: SSU rRNA
Rfam family: Eukaryotic small subunit ribosomal RNA
Source: RNAcentral
CUACCAUGGCUUUUACGGGUAACGGAGGAUUAGGGUUCGAUUCCGGAGAGGGAGCCUGAGAAACGGCUACCACAUCUAAGGAAGGCAGCAGGCGCGUAAAUUACCCAAUUCUGAUUCAGAGAGGUAGUGACAAGAAAUAACGGGUCGGGAUUAUAUCCCGGGACUGCAAUGAGACGAAUCUACACACCUUAUCGAGCAUCAAUUGGAGGGCAAGUCUGGUGCCAGCAGCCGCGGUAAUUCCAGCUCCAAUAGCGUAUAUUAAAGUUGUUGCAGUUAAAAAGCUCGUAGUUGGAUUUCUGGCAGGGUGAGCCAAACCUCAAUAUGAGUGUGCAGGCCCGCCCUACCAUCCUUCUGUUAACUUCUAAGGCCUUCACGGUCUUUCUAGGGCUCAGAUAUUUUACCUUGAGAAAAUUAGAGUGUUUCAGGCAGGCUAGCGCCGGAAUACAUUAGCAUGGAAUAAUGGAAUAGGACUUUUGCCUCUUCUGUUGGUCUGAGGGGUUCGAGUAAUGAUUAAUAGGGAUAGUUGGGGGCAUUAGUACUUAACUGUCAGAGGUGAAAUUCUCGGAUUUGUUAAAGACUAACUUAUGCGAAAGCAUUUGCCAAGGAUGUUUUCAUUAAUCAA